AAUGUGGGAAAAUGAACCUAGGCACACAAAAUCUACGCAUAUUGUUCGUUAUUAUUUCCAUAGCGUAGCUCGCGGUUUAAAAUAAAAAAGAACAAUUAUCACGAUGAUAACAUUUCGCAUCACAAGUUUCCAACCAAUAUCGAUGCGCGGGAUAGAUGGCUAAAUGCCA
RNAcentral lists this long non-coding RNA (169 nucleotides) under Aedes aegypti (yellow fever mosquito). Its description in RNAcentral is "lncRNA AAEL025893". Lineage: Eukaryota; Metazoa; Arthropoda; Insecta; Diptera; Culicidae. The record is from RNAcentral.